This 152-nucleotide ribosomal RNA is filed under the name uncultured bacterium. Its description in RNAcentral is "partial 16S ribosomal RNA". It matches the Rfam family "Bacterial small subunit ribosomal RNA", at positions 355 to 524 of the family's 1533-position model. The record is from RNAcentral.
UGGGGAAUCUUGGACAAUGGGCGCAAGCCUGAUCCAGCCAUGCCGCGUGAGUGACGAAGGCCUUAGGGUUGUAAAGCUCUUUUAGCAGGGAAGAUAAUGACGGUACCUGCGGAAUAAGCCCCGGCUAACUUCGUGCCAGCAGCCGCGGUAAU